UACGAAGGGGGCUAGCGUUGUUCGGAUUUACUGGGCGUAAAGCGCACGUAGGCGGAUUGCUAAGUCAGGGGUGAAAUCCUGGAGCUCAACUCCAGAACUGCCUUUGAUACUGGCGAUCUCGAGUCCGGGAGAGGUGAGUGGAACUGCGAGUGUAGAGGUGAAAUUCGUAGAUAUUCGCAAGAACACCAGUGGCGAAGGCGGCUCACUGGCCCGGUACUGACGCUGAGGUGCGAAAGCGUGGGGAGCAAACAGG
Molecule: ribosomal RNA, 253 nt
Filed under: uncultured bacterium
Lineage: Bacteria
Description: partial 16S ribosomal RNA
Rfam family: Bacterial small subunit ribosomal RNA
Source: RNAcentral